CCUACGGGAGGCAGCAGUGAGGAAUAUUGGUCAAUGGACGCAAGUCUGAACCAGCCAUGCCGCGUGCAGGAAGACGGCUCUAUGAGUUGUAAACUUCUUUUGUACGAGGGUAAACGCAGAUACGCGUAUCUGUCUGAAAGUAUCGUACGAAUAAGGAUCGGCUAACUCCGUGCCAGCAGCCGCGGUAAUACGGAGGAUUCAAGCGUUAUCGGGAUUUAUUGGGUUUAAAGGGUGCGUAGGCGGUCGGAUAAGUUAGAUGUGAAAUCCCGAGGCUCAACUUCGGAAUUGCCUGUGAUACUGUUAGGCUAGAGAGUAGUUGCGGUAGGCGGAAUGUAUGGUGUAGCGGUGAAAUGCUUAGAGAGCAUACAGAACACCGAUUGCGAAGGCAGCUUACCAAGCUACUACUGACGUUGAGGCACGAAAGCGUGGGGAGCAAACAGGAUUAGAUACCCUAGUAGUC
RNAcentral lists this ribosomal RNA (460 nucleotides) under uncultured bacterium. Its description in RNAcentral is "partial 16S ribosomal RNA". It matches the Rfam family "Bacterial small subunit ribosomal RNA", at positions 338 to 795 of the family's 1533-position model. The record is from RNAcentral.